CGCUGUCAAACCCAAGAUGGCCGAGUUGCAAUACCGCAUCAACGAGCUGUCAGCCCAGGUGGCGGACCUCACAACGGAAAGGGAUGCGGCCGUAGCGGAGACAAAUCAGUUGACGGUAAAGGUACGUUGUGCGUGUGAGUGUGUAUGGAUGUCGGUGACGGAAGGCGCUACCUAGGACCUCCAGUCGGAGGAGAAAGGACUCCCUUUGUAGUUUGCAGCUGGGCCUUUAUUGCCAUGUUGACCAGCUAAGUAAUUGCCUUGGGAAGCUUCGCCAUCUCCCUCCGUCCAGCGGAUCAUGCCGCCCGUGUCCCUGCAUCUACGCCGUCUGAAUCGGCGGCUGUCUUUUGCUGAGCCCUCCUCUCGUUUCUCCCUUCCAUCCCACCGGCCCUGCCAUCCUGCCGGCUACUUUAUCGGGCUGCGUAGCUCCAAGAGGAAACGGAGGCGCAUUUCCAGACGGAUGGCCGCCGGGUGCGACUGGGCGAGGAGGUGGAGCGACUUAGAGGCAUCCUCAAAAUGUACUCCAUACCCUUCUAAGGCUCGUCGAUGUAACCUAGCCUGUGGCCUUUGUCGUGGGGUCGACUGACAGAACUAGCUUGCCAUUUCCGUGGGGCUUCCACACCGCCGUGCUGCCGUGCUGUGGGGGUCCAGCUCCAUUGCAGGGGUAUACUGCCAGGGGCUGCGGCUGUAGCUUGUGUGUGCAGCUUGCAUAGCCGCAAGGAAGCGCUGCUGCUGUGGGGUUUCAACUUCCAAGGCUGCUAAGAGGACCGGCGUUUCGUUCUUUUCGAGUGCGGGUCUGGGGUCCGCUGGGUGCCGGGAGUGAAUGUCGGUCAUUAGUGGAUUUGUUGCGCUAAGCGGCCGCCCGAUGUGCCGAGACGGCCGUAAGAGCCGUUGGGCGUCGUUGCCUACUACGGGGCCGCUUGGCUUGUAAGGAAGUUAGCGUUGUCGAGGUUGCGGAUAUGGGGGGUAAUGGAAGUAGGCGUUGAGUAACAAUAAGGGGAGGUGGUGCGGUCAGGCUGUCUUAUUCUAAAAGUCUAUAGCUGAAUUCGUGUGUGAUAUCGGCGCUGAUGCGUUCCCUUAUGCAGCAUCUGCCAGGCAUUUUGUGCGCGUGCGUGUGUGCAUACAUACGUGCGGACACUGUUAAUGGCAGGCCCCCGUGCAGCCGCCCGCAGUAACACAACAGAGCGGCCAAAGUGGUCAGAAGCUCUCUUUUGCCGUGUGCCGGGGUUUGCCGGGGUUUGCCGGACAGAUGCAUGGUGUCUGUAUGUAAUGUCUGUGUGUCAGCACGAAACGCUUUUCGUGAAAUGAUGCCGGGCACGCAUUUGGAGCGCUUUUAUCUUUGGUGGAGGUUAGGUUGUCUGUGUGUGUUUAGAUGGGGAAAUCAGCUUGCCAUCUUCCUCCCUCCUCAUAUGACGUGGUAUGCGCAUACGGGCGGCAGAGGUUUAAGCCGCCCGCGUUAAAUCCACCACACCGACCAGGCGACACUUUGCGAAUUGAUUGGAGCCGUACGGGGAGAAAGAGGAAACUGCAGUUGGGGUUACUGGCGGGGUUGCUGGGGAAAUCGCCGGCAGUACGGCGCAUCCGCCCUGCAUCAUGUGUGUAUGUGCGUGUGGUUGUAUGUGAUCGAUGAAUAAUCUGAAGGGGCUAUGCACACAUGCUUUGCACUGAUCUACGGUGUAGGUGUACAUCGAGGGUACUAUGAUAUGGCUAAUAUGGGGUUAAGAGGCAGACGGCGAAGAAAAGGGUGCUGGAUGCCGGAUACGUGACUGGACUCGGGAAGACCUGCUUAGUGCGGAAAGGGGACUUCAUCUGCGUCUCUACCUAGCAUAUCAUGUGGGUGGGGACCCACCUUAUACCUCCAUCGUUGACCGUCUUAGCUGCUGAUCAUCCAUGCCAUGUCAUGCCAUGCCAGCUACACUUUGUCGUCUGUAUGUCAUGUCUGCAUGAAACACUGAAACUGUGGGGGACCCUUAAAGCUUGUGCAAUGCAAAUGACGCAGCAGCAGAGCGUCUAGGUUUUAGUAGUGUUUCGUGCCCAGCUUAUUGGGCUUGGAGUUUGGUAUACGCCGCUCGCACUCCCGCUGACCCCGCCAGCUGUCGUAAGAUUGCGUUGGCGCCCCACGUUGCACCGCGACAUCACCCCGUAGUCAUUGCUUCCUCCUUGCGUGGCCUUUCACGUGCGGGCGGGGUGACAUGGCCCCCUGCAGCAUCAAGUGAUGUGUGUACGGUGUUUAAGGGGUUAUCGUCGUUCUUUAUCCUUGAUUUGAUCCUUUACGCGCGCAAUGGUGCACGACCGUUUGUCGUGAACAAUGACUUUAUUGGACUUGGCCUUUGAAAACCAUCACUGAAUUACCUUGCCGCCCGGUGCCGCAGCUAGCGUGACUGUUCAUGCGGUCCUCUUGAAGGUGCUGCCACACAGGCUAUACCUGCUUUAGAAAGUAUUAAUCUACACAGCUGUGCUAUGUAAGAAUUACGAACCGCACUUCCUUAACUAUACAACGAAAAGCGGUAGAGUGCGGAUCGUGUUCCGCUAACGUUUGCGUGUGUCAAGGCUGUGAAAGUACUGGUGCCUUGGCCGCACCUAACAAACCCUGGUCAGGUGCUUAGGCCAUCAGUGGGCUGGAUCUUUAGCUAUCUGUUUACUGGUGCUCGGGGUUCAAGGCCUCUCGUCGCCGUUCCUUUUGUCCGCCUUCCAACUUAAGUUACCCAUUCGGAGAUCGCUUUCACCUUUGCGCCGGUCUCUCUGGUCAAAUUUUGACCCUUUAUUUUUGGACACCUCAACCACUGUAAUGUAAGUAGCCACCCUUCCGAAGAUCGAAGGUACGGUUGCUAUUACUGUUCCCCACUCGCCUGUCUGUACGUCUUUUGUUGACCUCCGUGUGCGGAUUCGAUGGGAAACCUUUGGCGUCAUGCUUGCUGGUGCUUCCUACUUUCCUACGGAGUUGUCGUCCAGUGCGCCUCCAGGAGGUGAAGGCCCUAACUCUUGAUGUCGUCCGUUCACCAUGCAUCGGGGGUAUUGCUGCGUGCCCGUCUGGUAUGGAUAGCGGUGCGUGGUGCCCGACUGGAUGAAUAUCAGCGGCCAGCUUUACAGUUAUAUUCGAGACCUAACACGUCUGUAACCUUGAAUCGUCUAAGCAAUUCAAACGUACUUAAUAGCAGAUGUCGCGAAUGAAGACCAAGUUCAAUCACGACAAUCUUCAUGUGGAUCGUGAUAAGAAAUUGUAGCUGUGAUCCACUAAGACUCUGUAACUGAAAAAUCUGAAGACAGCUAGGCGCAUGUGAGCCGGCACAUGACGUGACGUGAAUGGACCACCUCUUUUGCCCGAGGGUAGGAGGUAGUACAGGCACAGGCCGUAAGAGCCCGAGACGAAUCCCUUCAAAGAGGGGGGAAUACAGUAGCCGCUCCGCCAGCAUCUACAGAGGCCUUUUCAGCGGCCAGCUAUUACACCUAUUUGAUAACUGCAUGAUGUUAACCAACCCGCUACAAAUGCUGCGCUGGCUGGUGGAGUAAUGCUGCGCGGGCUGUGUGGUGGAUAUAGAGGCAGCUGCGAAGAAGACGCUGCAUGCAAAGGCUUUCAAACCUGACAGAUAACCAUGCGGUGACCAAAAAAAGUGUUGUGUGGCUAGGGUCGCACGUGACCGAGAUCCUUGCAAAUUCCUGCGGGGGGCCCUAGCGUACAUUCAAUUUCCCUUCCCUUACCCCCCUCCAGCAGUUGUAAACCAUCGCCACAAAGCCACCAACCAACACCAACAAUCGCCGCGCUUACGCCCCGCCCUAACCACUAUCAUUGCAACGAUAUGCCAACUAAAACGAUAUGCAUAGAUAAGAAAGUCAAAGCGCAAGGAUAUAACGUCGAAAUUGCCGAACCCGGCAGACAAGGCAUGCGGGGCGCUCGUACAUGCGGCAGUGCUGACCUCGUACCUCUUAAUAACCGUCUGCUGCUGCAUAGUUGAUACCUGGUGGGUUCGAAUUCCAAUUUGUGCGUGUUUGCAUUGUUUAGGUUGUUAGGCAGACAACAUACGCAUGGCGUGCGUCUGCCGUACAUCACCAAUUUCGGCAGUAGAUAACCAGACUCGUUUCUCCCCCGUCCUUCUCCCCUAUUUUCCUCUUCCCCGCAUUUCCUAUAUGGAUAUUUAUUUCUUAUUUACCAGUGGUGCGGCAUCACCAGUAGGAGGCCUCAGUAGUCCCCCAUUAAUGGGCGACCUCCUCCACUACCAUAUCCAACCGCACAUGCAUACGCUACACAAG
This 4245-nucleotide long non-coding RNA is filed under the name Volvox carteri. RNAcentral's name for it is "long non-coding RNA (VCAR_LNC002393)". Lineage: Eukaryota; Viridiplantae; Chlorophyta; Chlorophyceae; Chlamydomonadales; Volvocaceae. The record is from RNAcentral.